UGGGGUGUGGCUCAGUGGUAGGGUGCUUGCCUAGCACAUGUGAGGCUCUGGGUUCUAUCCCCAGCACAUUAA
Molecule: transfer RNA, 72 nt
Filed under: Ictidomys tridecemlineatus (thirteen-lined ground squirrel)
Lineage: Eukaryota; Metazoa; Chordata; Mammalia; Rodentia; Sciuridae
Description: Spermophilus tridecemlineatus (thirteen-lined ground squirrel) tRNA
Rfam family: tRNA
About the family: Transfer RNA (tRNA) molecules are approximately 80 nucleotides in length. Their secondary structure includes four short double-helical elements and three loops (D, anti-codon, and T loops). Further hydrogen bonds mediate the characteristic L-shaped molecular structure. tRNAs have two regions of fundamental functional importance: the anti-codon, which is responsible for specific mRNA codon recognition, and the 3' end, to which the tRNAs corresponding amino acid is attached (by aminoacyl-tRNA synthetases). tRNAs cope with the degeneracy of the genetic code in two manners: having more than one tRNA (with a specific anti-codon) for a particular amino acid; and 'wobble' base-pairing, i.e. permitting non-standard base-pairing at the 3rd anti-codon position.
Source: Rfam by way of RNAcentral